UCCGAGUUGACCCCGGCAGUCUCUCACGAGUCCCCGCCAUAACGCGCUGGCAACAUGAGACAAGGGUUGCGCUCGUUGCGGGACUUAACCCAACAUCUCACGACACGAGCUGACGACAGCCAUGCACCACCUGCACACAGGCCACAAGGGAAUACCUAUCUCUAGGCACGUCCUGUGCAUGUCAAACCCAGGUAAGGUGGGGAUGACGUGGGAGGAAUUCCA
RNAcentral lists this unclassified non-coding RNA (222 nucleotides) under uncultured Mycobacteriaceae bacterium. RNAcentral describes it as "contains 16S-23S intergenic spacer region". The record is from RNAcentral. Lineage: Bacteria; Bacillati; Actinomycetota; Actinomycetes; Mycobacteriales; Mycobacteriaceae.